UACGGAGGAUCCGAGCGUUAUCCGGAUUUAUUGGGUUUAAAGGGUGCGCAGGCGGGAGAUUAAGUCGGCGGUGAAAUUUUGCAGCUCAACUGUAAAAGUGCCUUCGAAACUGGUUUCCUUGAGUGUAGAUGAAGUAGGCGGAAUUUGUGGUGUAGCGGUGAAAUGCAUAGAUAUCACGAGGAACUCCGAUUGCGCAGGCAGCUUACUAAACUACUACUGACGCUCAGGCACGAAGGCGUGGGGAUCAAACAGGAUUAGAUACCCUUGUAGU
This 271-nucleotide ribosomal RNA is filed under the name uncultured prokaryote. RNAcentral describes it as "partial 16S ribosomal RNA". It matches the Rfam family "Bacterial small subunit ribosomal RNA", at positions 524 to 794 of the family's 1533-position model. The record is from RNAcentral.